RNAcentral lists this ribosomal RNA (497 nucleotides) under uncultured bacterium. RNAcentral's name for it is "partial 16S ribosomal RNA". It matches the Rfam family "Bacterial small subunit ribosomal RNA", at positions 28 to 507 of the family's 1533-position model. The record is from RNAcentral.
GAUGAACGCUGGCGGCGUGCCUAAUACAUGCAAGUCGAGCGAACAGACGAGGAGCUUGCUCCUCUGACGUUAGCGGCGGACGGGUGAGUAACACGUGGAUAACCUACCUAUAAGACUGGGAUAACUUCGGGAAACCGGAGCUAAUACCGGAUAAUAUAUUGAACCGCAUGGUUCAAUGGUGAAAGACGGUUUUGCUGUCACUUAUAGAUGGAUCCGCGCCGCAUUAGCUAGUUGGUAAGGUAACGGCUUACCAAGGCGACGAUGCGUAGCCGACCUGAGAGGGUGAUCGGCCACACUGGAACUGAGACACGGUCCAGACUCCUACGGGAGGCAGCAGUAGGGAAUCUUCCGCAAUGGGCGAAAGCUUGACGGAGCAACGCCGCGUGAGUGAUGAAGGUCUUCGGAUCGUAAAACUCUGUUAUUAGGGAAGAACAAAUGUGUAAGUAACUAUGCACGUCUUGACGGUACCUAAUCAGAAAGCCACGGCUAACUACGUG